Molecule: long non-coding RNA, 272 nt
Organism: Oncorhynchus tshawytscha (Chinook salmon)
Lineage: Eukaryota; Metazoa; Chordata; Actinopteri; Salmoniformes; Salmonidae
Source: Ensembl
GAGGGGUAUAGAGGGGUUCAGAAAGGUAGAGAGGGGUGCAGAGGGGUAGAGAGGGGUGCAGAGGGGUAGAGAGGGGUGCAGAGGGGUAGAGAGAGGGGUACAGAGGGAUAGAGAGGGGUGCAGAGGGGUAGAGAAAGGUAGAGAGGGGUGCAGAGGGGUAGAGAGGGGUGUAGCGGGGUAGAGAGGGGUAUAGCGGGGCAGAGAAGGGUACAGAGGGAGAUGUGUGUGUUGUUUUUGGCAGGGUUAAAGGGAGCUCAUUUCACACCCCUGUA